This is a long non-coding RNA of Oncorhynchus nerka (sockeye salmon), 1561 nucleotides long. RefSeq lists it as uncharacterized. NCBI's taxonomy places the organism in Eukaryota, Metazoa, Chordata, Actinopteri, Salmoniformes, Salmonidae. The transcript has 3 exons. The record is from RefSeq and is a predicted model, not a curated record.
AGCACCAGGUGUGGCCACUAGCCUAUAUGAAGGCCCAAAAUUGUGUGUUCCUUUCUGCUCUGACAAUGGCAUGCCCAUUCGUGCGAGAUGUGGUGGAUGAAGAAGCACUUGUGCUGAGGAGCGCCUUCAGGCGAGAAAGGGUCUUCAGGGACCGGUUGGACCCACUGGCCUUCCCUGAUGACCAUCUAUAUGAAAGAUACAGGUUUUCUGCAGAUGGCAUCAGGUAUCUAUGCAGACUACUGGGUCCCAGGAUUAAGCACCGCACUGCACGGAGCCAUGCACUGAGUGUGGAGCAAAUGGUUUGUGUGGCCUUGCGCUUUUUGCUAGUGGAGCCUUCCUGUACUCAGUGGGGAUGCAGAACAGCUGAACAAGGCCACAAUUUGCCGCACAAUAAGGAGUGUGUGUCUGGCUAUCAAAGCAUUAGCAGAUGUCUUCAUCUCUUCCCUGGCCACAGAAGACUCUGUGACAUCAAAGAGGAGUUCUAUAGGAUUGCAGAUGGUCUGCAAUGCUGACUGUGUGAUCAGCAAUGUUGUGGCAAAAUGGCCUGGCUCAGUCCAUGACUCCAGAAUCUUUCGGGCCUCUGAAAUCUAUCAGUGCCUAUCACAAGGUGAAUUCUCUGGUGUGUUGCUGGGAGACCGGGGUAUGGCUGCCAGCCUUUUCUCCUGACACCUUUCACAGACCCCCAGGAAGCACAGCAGGCCUACAACCAUGCCCAUGCCAGGACCAGGGCCAGAGUUGAAAUGACCUUUGGCCUCCUGAAGGCACGCUUCACUGCCUUCACAAAUUAAGGGUCAGCCCUGUUAGGGCAUGUGAUAUUACUGUGGCUUGUGCUGUCCUCCACAAUGUGGCCUGCCUGAGGAAGGAGAGGGCCCCCAGAGUGCCACCAGCCAUGGACUGGGACAAUCCGGCAAUCUUCCCUGAUGACGACAGUGGUCGGCUGCUGAGGGACCAAUAUGUGUUGAAUUAUUUUAGUUAGUAUGUGCUUUCAAUUUUGGUUAAAUAUGUCCUGCGGUGGCAGAGGAAUUUGGGUUUUUUUGGGUUCGUUUUUUGACGAAUUUGGCCUCUUAUGAUGUUUGUGCGGUAUACUGUGUGUAAUACAACAUUUACAUUUACAUUUAAGUCAUUUAGCAGACGCUCUUAUCCAGAGCGACUUACAAAUUGGUGCUUUCACCUUAUGACAUCCAGUGGAACAGCCACUUUACAAUAGUGCAUCUAGGUCUUUUAAGGGGGGGGGGGGGAGAAGGAUUACUUUAUCCUAUCCUAGGUAUUCCUUAAAGAGGUGGGGUUUACAAGGCUGCAGGGAGGCUACUGCAUCCAGGCUACUGCAUCCAUUCAUUUGUCUGUUCAGUUGAUGUGUAUGGAUUUGUCCUGCAUUUAUUUUAGUGUGCAGACAUGCAGGGUGUGUUAUAUACAGACCUUUGAAUGUGUAUGUAUCAUUUUGUAUAAUAUGCUUGGAUUCUGUGCUUUCCAUCUUGUGGAGUCACUGUGACUUCAGUUUCGAAAGGAGCUGAUGGUUUACCUGCUUUGUUUUGUCCUUAUUCAAUAAAGGAACAUAAUGUUA